Molecule: long non-coding RNA, 3417 nt
Organism: Bombus huntii
Lineage: Eukaryota; Metazoa; Arthropoda; Insecta; Hymenoptera; Apidae
Exons: 2
Source: RefSeq, a predicted model, not a curated record
UGAAUGCACAACGUGCUUACUUACUUUCCAACAGGCUUCAUAUUUACAAGAAAAUUAUUCAUUAAAUUAUAAAAUUAUUAUAAAAUUAUUCAUGUAAAUAUCAUUCGCAAUAUUUUAUUCUUAUAAGCUUUAGUUAUUAACAUUACAAGUACUUAAUUACAUUCAUGUCAUAACUCCAUAAUAUUCCGCGAUAGAAGCAUAAAAUAAUAAAAUACAUGACAACUUAGUUACAUGUUUUAACCAGAACACGGUCCAGUUCUAUUCGUACGGAGAUUUGAGAAAAUCGAAUUGAUUAUGAAUCCUCUCCAGAGGGCAGAAGUUCCGCGGCUUAAUAUUAUUUCGGUAGAGACUGUGCGAAGAGUGGUGGAUAUAACUGUCACCGAAGACAAUUUAUGUUAAUGACUGUUCCUGGCCCGAGGAGGGACGAGGCCGGAUCAUGAAACAGUCUGCAAGUCUCCGUGGAGCCGAUCGGACACGCCACUGUGUGCUGGUGUAACUAUGCCGGACUUCCCCCUCUCAAGUCCUGAAGCAACGCCACCCCGCUGUAUACUGUUCGUUUCAACCCCACGAUGGCGACGCCCAGCGUCGAUCCAGCUGUCUACCACGCAAACUCGCCGAAUCCACGUCCCAUGGCGCUUGUGCGUGACCCGUGAUCGUCUACAAAUGUCGCGUUGUGCUUGCAUCGUGUUCAAACGUUUCCUUAAAAUGUCAUUUUAAAUAAUCAAAUCGUUGAUUAAUAGUAAUGAAAAAUCUGUAUUUAACGAUUUUGUCGAUGUGAUUAAUAUUUCAUGGUGUAAUUAAGGCAAGAGAAGAGAAUGAUAUGGUGUGACGUUUAAGGGUGUCCUCUGAUCUUGUGUGCUGAUAAGAUACAAAAUGGAUGUCAUUGGGUGGACGAAGAAAUUGUUCUACGCUGAUCUUUUGGCGAUGAUAUGCAUGUUCAGUUGGUAGAAAUAGAAGAGUACGAAGAUACCUUAAGAGGUCACAAUAAUUACGUCGAUGUUAAUGCAUGUGUUUUCAACCCUCAGAGCGCAGACUCGCGGAAAAUCCAUUGCUACCAUUUCACUUCAGACGAGACCAGGCAUAGUGGAAAAUCUGACGGAACGUCUAGCAAAGUUUUAGUUAUGUAUUGGAAACUAUUAUCAAAGGGCCGAUGUUUUUCGUUCCAGUGAGUAUACGAUCUCUAAUUUAUAUGAUCGAUGAUCGAUACUUCUUGCAUUUAAAUCUUAAUCCUAUUGGGCUAUAUAGCGGCUGCUUAUUUACUCUAAAGAAUUACAUUUUUUCUGAUGCUUUCGUUGUUAUCAAAAUAGAAUUUAUUUUAUAAUUUACAGGUUCAGGUAGAAUUUAUUUUAAGUUAUUACGGAAGUAUAUAAUUAUCAUAUUUUAUCGUUACAACCUGUUUUUACAAAAUUUAACAUAUCAUAAACUCUACAGUAUUUUCUCUACUGAAAUCCGAUUUGUUGUAACACCAAAUCAAUAUCAUUCAUUGCAACUAAUAUAGUUCCAUUGUUGUGAAUAAUCAUCUACAGUAACGAGUGUUUAACAUUUAUCUAAUUGAAAUACAUUCAAAUCUAAUUAUAAAUUUGUUUUUAUAGUCUAGCAAUCAAUUACCGUUAGCUAAUUAAUUAGCUAAGACUUUGUAGCCUAUCAAUUAAUUACAAUAAAGUAUAAUUCAGUCGAAUCAUAAAAAAUAUCACCUCCAAUGUGAACGUUCUUGUACACUAAAUAUAUAUAUUCUUUAGAUCAAAUAUCCAAGUCUUCUGCUAUUGCUCAUUUAAUUUUUUAUACAACCUCGUGCAUUCAGGAUUUAUUCUACGAUAAAGUUCUACCUUGUGACACAAAGAAUACCAGAUAAACCGAGAUCCUUGUAAAUCUUUGCGAAAGAUGAAUCGUCCGGUGAGUCAAAUCUCGUCGUCGUCGGAUCGGGGACCGGUUGGUCGUUACGUUUCUAUUUGGAACAGGCGAAAAGUCGGCUCAGUGGCGCCGACGGUGGUGGAUUUCAUGAGCUUCGGCCAACAUCUCGGAAUCUGGCGGGACGCUGAUCGAUCUGCUCCUCAACCACGGCACACUUCGGUUUCGGUUCGUUUCGCAACCAACGAAAAGGUGACCGCGGAAUUAUACGCCGACCCGAUCGAUCCACCACCCCCUGCGCGAUACCUCUUUCUCACUUUUCCCCCGAUAAUUUCGCGGUUUACAGUGGCCAUUCUUUUACAAGUUACUCAGUUACUUAGUUCGUUACUCAGGAAACACUAUUCAUUUCCUGUAGCGUUAUUUUUAUUUUAUUUGUAACAGAGUUAGACGUUGUUUUUAAAAUAUUUGUACGAAACUCGAUGUGUCAAUUUUUCAGCUUAUUGUUGAAUACGAAGGAUACUAACGAUGUCAUCUAGUCAGACGUACAAUAGAUUAGGUGCUUUGAACAGGUUAACAAAACAAAAGAAUGUGUCAAUACCAUCUAUUGACAAAAUCCGCAAUCACUUAGUUCCCAACCCAAUAUAUCGAUCAAUGAUACAUUUUUUUGUUUCUUAAUCCAUCCACGUGUUCGGUUACUUUCAACGCUUACUUGUAUGUAAAUAUAUAGAACGCGAGAGAAGCUUUGAAGUAAAAAAUAACAAGUUAUUGUGUUUACAGUUACUGCAAUUACUACCAAUCUGUUCUUCACAUUCGACUUCAGGAAGACACAAAGUUAUUUUCAUUAUUGCCAGUAUCAUAGUCGAUCUUCGCUCGACCCGAAUACGACCGAACUUAUCCGUGAUAUUUUUCAAGAUAAUGUGUGAGUUAAUCUUCCGUGGCGCUGUGAGUCUCCGAACAAUGGCUGGCCAUGUUUGCAGAAUGUAACUGUGACCCAUGCAAUAGCAGAGUACUUCAAAAUUCGCAAAAUAUAAUAAAACCAUCUUCCGGUCAUAAUCUUCCAAAUGGAGGAAUGAUAAGUAUAUCUGAUUUAAAUAGUAUUGCCUUGAUAGUUUUAUUUUUGUCUUAUAUCUUCUUUAUGACGUCCAUAAUGAUUUCUCUUAGAACGAGUUUCCAACUACAAAAAACAUUUGCAACGCCCUACGUGACUGUAUUUAAUGAGCCGUUUUCGAGUCUGUUCAAGAAAACGACAAUAUUCGGUAGAUGCGUAAGCACAAGGGCAAACCGGCUAUAACUCCAAUCAAGGACUCACUCGGCUCGGUCCACAUUCCACGUCUAGUCCACCGAUCCCUAAACUCGUCGGCACGUUCCACGUUAUGGUCCAUCUUCGUCCUGGCUUCAUUAUUUCACAGUUCUCGAUGAUUCUUUUCUGGACAUUGUGACCUGAUUCUUACAGUGUCAGUUUAUUUGAAGAAGAGUAAUAGAAGCUAUUAAAAGUUGAAACUAACUUAGGCUUAACGAAAAUAACUUGAGGAUCAGAUUAUGAAAAUGAAAUAAACAGAAUCCGAGGGA